UAGCUAUUGAUGGUAGAAAUUCUAGAACUCCACUGUUGGGAAGAGCCUCAGGGCUUUGGAUUUCAGAGCUAGAAGCAGCCAGUCCGGGAUAUCCCGGAUCGCUGCUUCGUCUCAGCCUCCCCUGGAACCCUUCCAGUGAUGGAGAGCUCACCCCUUUGUGAGGAAGCCUGCUCCACUUCCACUCAGCCAAGGCUACACACACUUCGUGAACGGCGGGACCUCCUACCCUGUAAGUUGCCACCCCCUCCCCCGACUGCCCCUGUUGGGAGGGAGAAGCCGCUCCGGCAGCAGAGGUGAAGACGGCUUUGGCUUCGUAGAGCAGCCGGGCCCGCGCGACAAAGCCGAGUCUGUCUGGUACCGGCUCCAGCUGUGAGUCACUGGCUAUCCUUAUUUCAAGGGCAGCACUGCGCCUUGAGAGCUCCUGUUCCCUGGCCGAUGAAGCAGCUGCAAGAAACAUGAUCUAGGCAUCCAGAGGCCCGUGCAAAAUGCAAGACCGAGCUGAGCGUCCUACGGGAAGCUGAGUGAGGGCUUGGCAGGGUCUCCAUCAGAACUUACAACUUGUGCAGUGUCCCAGUGGAGGACCUGGGGUGAGCCCUGUGGAGCCCAGAAUGUUCCGGGGAAGGCAUUGAAUGCAGUGGAUGUCAAGGGGAAGACUGAGCUCGCCACUCUCCUGCCUGGUUUGGCCAAAGACCCCACUCCCAGCUGCUGUGAUGGACCUUCUGGGCUUCCAUCGUCAGAAAGGGGCAGCCCUGGGCCCAGAGAGCUGGACUGGAGUCAUGGCCCCACCACUGAGCAGCUGUGGCCUUGGAAAUAUUACGUGGCCUCCCUGUGCCUUAGACUUCUCUUGGGAAAGGUAAGAGCACGGGUAGCUCCUAUCUCCUCAGGUCUGUGAGGGUGGAAUGAGACACUGCAGAGCUUUCUGUAUAGUAGGCACUAUACAGAAGUACGGCGAGUGUCAGUGUUUUGCUUUUAAAUUUGGAACCACUGAGAGAAAGUCUAAGACUUAGGGAGUAUCCAAGAUGGCGACACAGGAAGACCCUGAACUCACCUCCUCCCAUAGACACACUGAAUCCACACCUACCUAUAGGGCAAUUCCUCCUGAAGAAAAACUGAGGGCUGACUGAACAGCUUCUGCACAACGGAGGACAGAGGGACCACACAGAACGGCAGGAGAGACGGAGAACGGGAACAAUGGGAACCCCAGCCUCUACUCUGAAAGCCACAGUGGGGAGGGACCCCUAAAGGACCUGCCUGCAGAUUCGCCCGCCCUGAGACACAGCAAAAAAUAGUGGCAGCUUAAGGGGCAAUGAGACUAGAAGGGAAGGAAACCCAUUCACUAACUCUAGGGUGUCCACCAAGUGGGGGACUGCUGGAACUCCGAGUCAGAGGGGCUUAUAAAUGCCACUGUUUACAUUCCCCCUCCACCUCCAUAGCACAGACAGCAGCAGGGUCUGGGUGCCUUAGUCAGCCUGUUGCUUCAGUGAGACCCAGGCCCCCGGUCCACACCAGCUCCAGCUAAUCCCCUAGCCGCGCCCGCCCCCCCAAACCGACCUGUACCUGCCUGAGCUCUAGCCAUCCCACCAGUGCAGCCCCAGCAUGGUACACUCUGGAACACCACCCCCCAGUGCCUACUUCAGCUCCAGCCAUCCCGCCAGGGUGCCCCCUGUACAGAGCACCUGGGGACACUCUGGCCCACACCUGCUUCAGUUUCAGCCAUGUCACCACAGUGGCCCCAGCGUGGAGUGCCCCAGGACUCCCGGCUCAUGUAGACAGCCAGGCAAAGCCAGCGGGCACAUGCAGUCUACACAGGGACUAUUUCUAUACAAGGCCACUCCUUCAAGACUGGAAGGGGUAGUUAUUUUGCCCGAUUCAUGGAAACAAACACAGAAAGUCAAACAAAAUGAGGAGACAGAGGAAAAUGCCCCAAAGGAAAUAAGGCAAAACUCCAGAAGAUGAACCAAAUGAAAUAGAGAUAAGCAAUGUACUUGAUAAAGAGUUCAAAGUAACGGUCGUAAAGAUGCUCACUGGACUCGAGAGAGGAGGGGAAGAACCCAGUGAGAACUUCAAAAAACAGAUGGAAAAUAUGAAAAAGAAGCAUCAGGGUUUAAGAAUAUAAUAAAUGAAAAAAUACAAGAAAUCAGUAGUAGAUUAGAGAAUGCAGAAGAAUGGGUCAGUGAUCUGGAACACAGAGUAAUAGAAAACACCCAAGCUGAACAGCAAAAAAGAAAAAGAAUUUUAAAUUUAAAAACUGAGCAUAGGUGGGGGCACUGGGUGGCUCAGUCGGUUAAGAGUCUGACUUUGGCUCAGGUCA
Long non-coding RNA from Felis catus (domestic cat), 2311 nucleotides. RefSeq lists it as uncharacterized. Lineage: Eukaryota; Metazoa; Chordata; Mammalia; Carnivora; Felidae. The transcript is spliced from 4 exons. The record is from RefSeq and is a predicted model, not a curated record.